GGCCUCCCCUAGACCCUCCCUUCAGUCUGCGCUCAGCCCCACGUCCCCACACGACGCACUGGACGCUGCGUUGAGUUUUGGGUCACCUGUCGCUGCAGUUGGACGAUGGAUUUUCUCGGGGGCACGCGGGUCUCCGACGGGGCACCAGUCAGGUGCGUGCUGGCUGGAGAGCUCUCGGCCAUCAAGCCUGCCGUGUGGUCUGAGAGGCGGUCACCAGGGUGCUGGGAGGAUCCGGGCAGAAGUAGCUGCUUCUCCAGGCUGCCAUUUCCAGGGCGUCGGAGUCCCGGUCCCGCCUCCUGCCCAGGACGCCCUCCGCGAGCCCGUGGCCUGUGGGGGCCGGUCCUUCGCUGCAGCUGCCGGGCAGCUGAAGAGGGCGUGGAGGGCGGAAGCACGGGCAACGGUUGUUUCCUGCGGAGAAGGGCAGGGGACACGGAGCGGCGCCUGGACUCUGGGCCUGCGGCCUCUCCGGAGGGCUGCGCACCCCUGAGCCUGCCCUGGGCGCGCCGGCUGUCGGGGGACCCUUCUGCACAAGGUUCAGAGGGCUCAUCUUGAACAAGACUGUCACCAAGCAGCAGUGCAAAGGUACAUAGCAUAGUGGUUCAGUUUUUCUUUUUUUGCUGAUUAUGUUCCAUUAUAAGAGUUCCAGAAAAACAUCUGCUUCUGCUUUAUUGACUAUGGCAAGGCCUUUGACUGUGUGGAUCACAGCAAACUGUGGAAAAUUCUUAAAGAGAUGGGAAUACCAGACCACCUUACCUGCCUCCUGAGAAAUCUAUAUGCCUCCUGAGAAAUCUGUAUGCAAGGAGAUCAAACUGUUCAAGCCUAAAGGAAAUCAAUCCUGAAUAUUCAUUGGAAGGACUGAUGCUGAAGCUGAAACUCUAACACUAUGGCUGCUUGAUGCAAAGAACUGACUCAUUGGAAAAGACCCUGACGCUGGGAAAGAUUGAAGGCAGGAGGAGAAGGGGACAACAGAGGAUGAGAUGUUUGGAUGGCAUCACUGACUCGAUGGACAUGAGUUUGAGCAAGCUCUGGGAGUUGGUGAUGGACAGGGAAGCCUGGUGGGGUGCAGUCCAUGGGGUCACAAAGAGUUAGACACGAAACGAGUGACUGAACUGAAUUGAACUGAACUGAUAUUCCAUUAUAGGUUUUUAUAGGAUAUUGAGUAUAAUUUCCUUUGCUGUACAGUAAAUACUUGUUGCUUAUCUAUUUUAUGUAUAGUAGUUUGAAUCUGUUAAUCCCAUAC
Long non-coding RNA from Bos taurus (domestic cattle), 1240 nucleotides. The record is from Ensembl. NCBI's taxonomy places the organism in Eukaryota, Metazoa, Chordata, Mammalia, Artiodactyla, Bovidae.